Long non-coding RNA from Hordeum vulgare subsp. vulgare (domesticated barley), 2789 nucleotides. RefSeq lists it as uncharacterized. The record is from RefSeq and is a predicted model, not a curated record. The transcript is spliced from 2 exons. Lineage: Eukaryota; Viridiplantae; Streptophyta; Magnoliopsida; Poales; Poaceae.
UAGAGGGAUGCACUGAAGCGAUGGGAAGUCCAUCACCGCCACUACCGGAUCUCUCUCUCCUUCCCCACCGUCGUCACCAUCUCACGACGGUCGCCGGAGGGAACUCAUCGAGAAGCUACAAGGUAUUAAUCUACUACCGCCUCCGAACACAUCUAGCCUUGACGAUCCACGGGAUCUAUCACACACUUCAGAGCAUGCACGCCACCGGUACGAAUAGUUUUUUUUUUUGGGUGCCGGUAUGUACCGAUGAGUGAUCUAUCUACCACACAAGGUUGCAUUUAGAUCGGUGCUGGGUUGGACCCACCUAGAUUCUGUUUUCUUUUUUUCCGAUGAUGAUACAAGACGUAUACGAAAGGAAUACAUCGACAGGGCCCAACGAUAAACCUCCUUCUCUAACAACCAGUAACGAAUCUAGAACGAAAUUGCAACGUAGGCUCAAAACAUCAUGUUUUUAGUUUAACUAGUAAAUGCAUUGCAAUUCAUACUAUAUAAACACCUUAGUAUAAUUGUCAAGUAUUCCUUUCGUCUCAAAAUAAGUGUCGUUGAUUUAGUAUAUAAAAUUUAUACUAACUUAAUACAACUUUUACGAUACUUAUUUUGAUAUGAACGGAGUAGUAUAUUUAGCUAAAAUAAAAAAAAAUUGAAGGAUAGGCUUAGGCCCUGUUUGAUAACAAAGAAUUUUCGUAGUAUUUUUAGAAUACUGCAGUUUUGGAGAUUAUCAUAGUUUUAUUUACAAUGAGGUGUUUGGUUGCCUCUAAGAAUUGUGAUUUUAAAACUGCAGUAUUGAAAAAACUGUGGUUUUUUCUCUGCAUAAAAAAAAGAACCCCAGACCUCUUUUUAAAAAACAGAGAAGGCGAAAAGAAGGGGUGGGACGUCGUUAUCUUCUUCCCGUGUACUUGCUCGAUCUAAACUACAGUAAUAUGUGGCGUAAUCAAACAGUUUCUCUACAUUGUGAAUACUGCAAAAAAUGUUGUUAUAUUAAAACCAUGGUAUUUUCUAUCUACACAUAAAAUUACUGCAGUUUUUAAUACUUUAGUUUUUUUACUACUUUGUUAUCAAACAGAGCCUUAAGCUUAUUGAAACCUCCUAAUGGAAUCGUCAGCACACCGUACCAGCAGAAUAAUCGAUGGGGGAUUAACUAGGCGCCAGCCCCAACUCCGGCCAGCGGGUCCACUUCCCCGUCCAGUUGUCAGCCCAGCUACGGCGGAUUCAUGGUCGGACGACCUUGUCUUCACCCGAGAUCCAGCGAAGCAGUUUGGCGGCGACGACGUGGCUUUCCCGGCCAGCGGGAGGCCCCCGUCCUCCUUCGUCCUUGCUGCCCGUCCGCUGUCCUCGCCAUGAGCGGAUCUUGCAGAGCGUCCACCACGACGCGUCCCUGCGGAAGGUCGCCUUCGGAUCUGACUAGUCCAAUCAUGGCCGCCACCGGAUCCCUUCCCCUUCCCCUCUCUCGCGGACCCGACUGCACCGCGAUGAACCAAUGGCCAUGCCCGACCUCUCAACAACAGGAACCCUUCUGGCGACCUCUCUGUGUUCCUCAUGAAAUUGGUUUUGUUGUGCAUGAUUUAAACUUGCCUUGUUUUUUUUCUAGAUGGUUGGCAUUCCCUGCUUCGUGAAAUGGAUAUGAAACAAUUUGUUCUGAACUUUGUGAAAUCGUUCACAAAUUUGUGGAAUCAUGGAACAUAUUAUCAAAUCUUGAAACUGGUGUGUACAAAUAUGCAGAACGUGUGAAACUAGCUUCAGAAUACGUGUGAGAUUUAAUUUCUGGUAUAUGCCUUUGUGAAAACAGGGACAGAUGCAUCAUAGUUUGAAAAUUGGCCUAACUGACAUAACAUUGUACGAUAAUAAAAUUGUUGUUGAAAGGAUUGAAAUCUUAUUUUUUAAAUAGUAACUUUCAGUCUUUUGUACAGUAUGACAGUGAAUUUGGUUUUCACAAUGAAUGAGUGAAAAAAUCGAGAGCAACUAGGUAGCGAACGCUUCUUUAGGAGCUCCUAACGAGCACUCCCACGCGCCGUCAUUUAGCGCGUUUUCAGCCGCCGUCAUGUGUCGCGUUCUAAGCGAUUUUUUUGGAUUUUGUUUUUUUAUUUUUCCACACGCGUUUUCAGCUAUUUAGAUUGUUUUUUUUGUGUGUGUGUUUCGGUGUAAAAGGUUUUUCACACGUCUUUCACACGCCACUCGUUUCAAAUAUGUACUCCUCUCAAUUAAAAACUGCCUCCCACGUUUCGAAGGGGCGACCCUCAGAAUUGGUCCGAAAUCACUCUCUCGCAAAACAUACCGCUUCGGCCCGCGAAAUAGAAAAGGAAGCCAGCCAGAAGGGGAACGGGAGGGGCGAACAAGAGCCGACCUAGCAGGCAACCAGGCGGCCGGCGGCGGGGGCGACCACCACGGCGGCCAGUGGUGGUGCAGCUUGAUACCUGAUUUGGCCGAGGAAGACAUGCUUCGAUGUUAUGGGAAGUUGGUACUCAAUGAUCGUCUGUUUCAAGCUCUAAAGGAGCUGCCCGUCACCAUGAGGAAGACAUGGCUGCUAAUGGUGCCUUGAAGCUUGAUGCUUUUCUGAUAUGUGUGUGUUCUUGUAUGUCUUAUUGAACAUCGAACUAUCUAUUUUAUGCCCUAUUGAACUUGGAACAAUUUAUGUACUACUGCCACGCACUGUUUCUGUUAAGCAUUUGGACCUAUCCAUUUGAAUGAUUGUGAUUUAUGUCCUGUACGAGACCAUAUUUGAGAGUAUGUGCUGUUUGUUAUUGUAUUAAAUUUGUGUUAUGUUAUCGUAAGAAAAUAUUGUUGUCAUUGUA